CCUCAACACAACCACGAGAAAACACUUCCAUUUUUCUAGAUAGAGCUUUGAGCCGCAACAUCCGCCUUCCGCUCUUGCGAUGGCUUCCAGCUCCGUGCCUAAGAUGGCUGCCGUUUUCAUGCUGGCCCUAUUCGCUGGCCAGGCGCUGAUGGCUACGCCGGCGAUGGCAGAAGGACUAGGUAACCGGCACAACCUUUUGGAGAAGUAUGAUGAGACGCAAUGUCGCGGAUACGCCACAUGCAAUAUUGUAUGCUUCUACCAAGUUUUUCAAGUCUGCGUCAUCUAUAGCCCUGUUGCAUUCUGCAACACUUGGGCGCUUGGGUUCUGCAAGGACAAGAGAUACUGAGGCAUAAAUAGCAGUGCAGCUCCUUUUGGGAUGCAUGCAUAACUACACGAGCAACUCGCCUCAUCAGUGUCAACUAUUGUUCCUUGGUUAUUGGCGUUGUGCGUUGCAAGAGUCCUAAUAUGUUCCUCCCUUUAUUUCCAGCUAUCAUUUAUCAGUGGCUUAACCAACUAUUUAAUUACUUCAUUCUCUGUCAUCAUGGUACUUGUUUAACUAAAAAUCCCCUGUCGGAUACAAAUGUAUGUGUCGUUUGAUUAUAAAAUGGUUCCGCCGCGGCAGCAUUUUUCGGUCCAUGAUGGCCAUAUAAGCAUGCUCUUUCUACCCUUACCGAUGAAUCUUUCUUCAUGAAAUACCAUUCGUUUGACAGAUUUGGCAUGUGGUUCGACAAAAUGCCAUAAAAAAUAAAGGUUGCAAAAAUAUAAGGGAGCUUGAAGCUGAAUCGGCACUAACCUUGUAAAUAUUUUUCGUAGUGGACAAGACAAAUACUACACAGGCCAUCGCCACACCCAGUUUCGCUAGAUCAUCGCAGAUGAUGCGAUGUUUGACAACAUAUACAUUCUAAACGGACACUCAAGGCCCAUAGGGUGACCAGCGUUGUUUUCGUGUUAAUCCGGGCCCACAGGGUACGAAAGUUUUUUUCGUCUGUGAGUCCCUAUCAUGUGGAACCCAUGUUAACUGCCGUGAUUGCAUUGGCUUUCAGGGACGAAUAUAUCGAAUCGGGGUUUUCGAGCGUUCUCUCAUUGCACCUUGAGUACCCCAAACCCAUUAAGGUCGCCUUCCGACGCUCUCUAGUAGUCGUCCAGGUGCUUGGGUCAUCCUUCUUCUGGCUAGAGUCGCGUUGGCAUCGAUCCUUUGGACAUUUGAUUCAAUCCUCCAAGAGGGUCUUUCACUGCCCCUACGGCAGAUGCUACCGAAAAGAGUUCCGGCAUUGAGCGAGCAUUUUCUUGGGCUAUCCUGAUCAAACAUCUCGCAUGCCUCAUUCUACCUUUGAAAACUGAAAUUAUAUCCAGGCAGGAUUGAUCCGUGGGAAGUCAUUCAUUUUCCUCAGAAACCCGCAAUUCCCAGAUCAAAAGUCAUAUUUCCCGCUCCUCUAGUUUCUUAAACCAGCACGGUUCCUUUUUCCAGCAGGAAUACUCCCAAAAAAGGGCUUCCAUUCAAAGUGGAAAGAAAGAGACCGGUCCGUUCUCCCUCUUUGCCUAGCGGUUAAUUAGAGUGUAGGUCCCCUCCCAGGCCUCGCAACCAAGAGUCACUUGUCGAAAGUUGACCAAGAAGACAAUAACUAUCAAGGCAGGAAUAGAUAGAUGAAACUCUAAACUGUUUCACCAUCUUCUAUGGUCAUUCUUAUUUUUCUGAAGUUGAAGUUGUGCUCGCCCAUGUAAGCUUCAAUAGGUUUGUGGACAUCACAACCCCAUUCUCCUGUAUCUCUUCAACAUGCAAGCACUUCGUUAGGGCCGCUGGUUUUCUGGAAGUGGGUUCACUGUUUACGCCUCCAUGGAAUCUGGCUAGCUCGAAGAGUCCCCAGAUGACCUCGAGUUGCUCCUGGCAUUCCCAGUGAUGUCAUUAAUGAUUGGACCGUUCACCUUGAACGGAAAAUCAUUGAACAGUAGUGAGGAAGGAGUUCGGUGUUUCCUAACUUCUAUUGCGAGAGUGGUUUUUUUAGACCAAGGGACGUUCCACCUACAUUGCACCAAUGAUAAUCACUCAAAUCAAAAAAUGGCUAAAUAAUUUGAAUUUGCAGGCUUGGCUGUGACCAAUUGUUUAGGGUGCUUAUUUGGUGGCCAAAUGACAUCCGAGGAGCUCUUUACAUACAAAAUAUAUAUAUCAAAUUUUGUCCUCAAAGUUAUGUACGCAUAGUUUGAGUAGAAGUUGUAUUUUUUAUAUAUGAAGCUCAUUUGAUACUAUUUGGUCACCAAACAAUGCAAGCACCUCAAACACUUGUUCAAUAAAUGCCCCAAAGUUUAUUUUGCUAUUUGUUAUCAGUUUACUCUUCAGCGUGGAUAAAUUGCACUUUGGUGUAGCCACUAAUUUUCCGUCCCAUCCCGCAUCUCUGAUGGUAGCAAGCUCGAGGUACCGGUCGGGAGUUUUUAGUUGGAAGGACGUGGCUAUCGUGACUGCAAGGGCAUAUCGAUGCAGGGGUACUAUUCUAGGGACGAAGCCAUUAGGAGUUGCUUUUGACAGUGAUCCUUUUGACCGGGUAUCGCAAUACCCAAACAUUGCGACAUUAACAUACAUGAAUUUGUAUGACAGUGGGAAGUAACAUUGAAUUAUGAAAAUGACACAGGGAGACAAUAUUCCCCGGCCCUUUUGGCGCGCACGAUGCAAGUAAUCUAGAAUUGUAUGUGUCAACAUGUAUAGUGUGUGUGNNNNNNNNNNNNNNNNNNNNNNNNNNNNNNNNNNNNNNNNNNNNNNNNNNNNNNNNNNNNNNNNNNNNNNNNNNNNNNNNNNNNNNNNNNNNNNNNNNNNNNNNNNNNNNNNNNNNNNNNNNNNNNNNNNNNNNNNNNNNNNNNNNNNNNNNNNNNNNNNNNNNNNNNNNNNNNNNNNNNNNNNNNNNNNNNNNNNNNNNNNNNNNNNNNNNNNNNNNNNNNNNNNNNNNNNNNNNNNNNNNNNNNNNNNNNNNNNNNNNNNNNNNNNNNNNNNNNNNNNNNNNNNNNNNNNNNNNNNNNNNNNNNNNNNNNNNNNNNNNNNNNNNNNNNNNNNNNNNNNUUCUUGUUGGGGAAUGUAGUAUUUCAAUUUUUUUUGCCUACGAUCACGCAAGAUCUAUCUAGGAGAAGCGUAGCAACGAGCGGGUAGAGUGUGUCCAUGCGUACCCUCGUAGACUGAAAGCGGAAGUGUUUAGUAACGCGGUUGAUGUAGUCGAACGUCUUCGCGAUCCAACCGAUCCAAGUACUGAAUGUACGGCACCUCCGCGAUCAGCACACGUUUAGCUCGGUGACGUCCGUCGUACUCUUGAUCCAGUUGAGUCCGAGGGAGAGUUUCGUCAGCACGGCGGUGUGGUGACGGCGAUGAUGAAGUUACCGGCAUAGGGCUUCGCCUAAGCACUAUGACGAUAUGACUGAUGUGUGUAACUGUGGAGAGGGGCACCGCACACGGCCACGUAUAUAAAGGAGGGGAGGGAAAAGGUGGCCGGCCCAAGGGGGCAUGCCAGGUGUGGGGAAUCCUAUUAGGACUCCCCAGUCCAAGUAGGAUUCCCCUCUUUCCAAAUCCUAGUAGGAGAAGGAGGGAAGGAUGAGGAGGAGAGAAGGAAAGGGGGGCUGCCCCCCAAACCCUAGUGCAAUUCGGUUUGGGCUNNNNNNNNNNGUAACCCCUGGUACUCCGAAACUCAUCCGAAGCGACCCGAACCAUUCCGUUGUCCGAAUGUAACCUUCCAAUAUGUGAAUCUUUAUGUCUCGACUAUUUUGAGACUCCUUGUCAUGUCCAUGAUCUCAUCCGGGACUCCGAACAAACUUCAGUCAUCAAAUCAUAUAACUCAUAAUACAAAUCGUCAUCGAACGUUAAGCGUGCGGACCCUACGGGUUCAAGAACUAUGUAGACAUGACCGAGACACAUCUCCGGUCAAUAACCAAUAGCGGAACCUGGAUGCUCACAUUGGCUCCUACAUAUUCUACGAAGAUCUUUGUCAUCAGUAUGUUACUUGCCCGAGAUUCGAUCGUCGGUAUCAUCAUACCUUGUUCAAUCUCGUUACCGGCAAGUCUCUUUACUCGUAACGGAAUGCAUCAUCCCGCAACUAACUCAUUAGUCACAUUGCUUGCAAGGCUCAUAGUGAUGUGCAUUACCGAGAGGGCCCUGAGUUACCUCUCUGAUACACGGAGUGACAAAUCUUAAUUUUGAUCUAUGCCAACUCAACAAACACCAUCGGAGACACCUGUAGAGCAUCUUUAUAAUCACCCACUUACGUUGUGACGUUUUAUAGCACACUAAGUGUUCCUCCGGUAUUCUGGAGUUGCAUAAUCUCAUAGUCAUAGGAACAUGUAUAAGUCAUGAAGAAAGCAAUAGCAAUAAACUAAACGAUCAUAGUGCUAAGCUAACAGAUGGGUCUUGUCCAUCACAUCAUUCUCUAAUGAUGUGAUCCCGUUCAUCAAAUGACAACACAUGUCUAUGGUCAGGGAACUUAACCAUCUUUGAUUAACGAGCUAGUCUAGUAGAGGCAUACUAGGGACACUAUGUUUUUCUAUGUAUUCACAUAUGUACCAAGUUUCCAGUUAAGACAAUUCUAGCAUGAAUAAUGAAAAUUUAUCAUGAUGUAAGGAAAUAUAAAUAACAACUUUAUUAUUGCCUCUAGGGCAUAUUUCCUUCAGUCUCCCACUUGCACUAGAGUCAAUAAUCUAGAUUACAUAGUAAUGAUUCUAACAUCCAUGGAGUCUUGGUGCUGAUCAUGUUUUGCUCGUGAGAGAAGCUUAGUCAAUGGGUCUGCAAUAUUCAGAUCCGUAUGUAUUUUGCAAAUCUCUAUGUCUCCUUCCUUGACUUGAUCGGCAUUGAAGCGUCUCUUGAUGUGCUUUGUUCUCUUGUGAAAUCUGGAUUCCUUUGCCAUGGCAAUUGCACCAGUAUUUUCACAACAGAUUUUCAUUGGAUCUGAUGCACUAGGUAUGACACCUAGAUCGGAUAUGAACUCCUUCAUUUGCUGCUUCCGAAGCAGCUAUGUAUUCCGCUUCACACGUAGAUCCCGCCAUGACGCUUUGCUUAGAAUUGCACUUCGGUGUAGCCACAAAUUUUCCUUCCCAUCCCGCAUCUCCGAUGGUAGCAAGAUCGAGUUACCGGUCGGGAGUUUUUAGCUAGAAGGACGUGGCGGUCGUGACUCCAAGGUCAUAUCGAUGCACGGGUACUAUUCUAGGGACGAAGCCAUUAGGAGUUACUUUUGACCGUGAUCCUUUUGACCGGGUAUCGCAAUACCCAAACAUUGCUACAUUAACAUACAUGAAUUUGUAUGAUAGUGGCAAGUAACAUCGAAUUAUGAAAAUGACAAAGGUAGACAAUCUUCCCCUUAUGGCCCCGACGAUAUGAAUAACAACCUUACUCCUACUUGUCUAUAAUUAUAUCUAUCGACGGNNNNNNNNNNNNNGGGGGGGGGGUCUAGCGAGCCUUGUGCGCUAAGUUUCUAGCACAUUUGGUGACCAGUCUUAACCAGAUGUGCAAGUUCAGAUCUAGUCUAGGCCUGAAGCUAGGGCUUCCAUUAAGUCAUCUUGGCCCUCCAAGCAGAAGUUGUCAUCUCUUGUUCAUGGCGCUAAUGUAUUUAUAAAUGGUCUGGGGUCAGUUGGAUGCCUUCCUUUCCUAGCCUCCCAUUCGUGAAAAGCUUGAUAAUUCCACUGUCAUGACAUGUCCUCCCUCCUUCCAAGGAGUUCCAGGGGGUACACGUCAUCCUAAUUUCACUGCUAGGAGUGACUCUCCGUGGGAGUGGGUUUGACAUUCGCGAAAGUUUCCUUCAGGCUUACGCGGCUUGGGAUGGGCCCGAUCCACCUUUUGCCUACAACAUAUGACCUACCCGGAGACUACACCUUCACACAUGGUGAGUAAACAACUCCUUGGUUGCCCGCUCCACCUAGAUACGUGCCGCCAAAAGAAACUCCCGAUGUUCCUGUAGCUGAAGUGACGACCAGAUCUGAACCCGGUGGAUACUUGAGCAGAUAACUUGGAGAGGAGAAUAUAUCUUCUUUCAUCAAAUAUCACAUUAUUUGUACGUAACUACAUUGACUAUCAAAUUUUGCAUUCGUUAUAUAUUUCUCACAUUUUGCUAAAACCAAAAUAUUUUUUAACACACAUGAAAUUUCCAUGUAACGAUUUGCGUAAAACAUCAUCUACACAACUAAUGAAUCAACUGGGAUGCAACAUGCAUAUAUCUAAUUAGCUCGUGGUAAUUGUUUAAAUAUGUCAAGUUGAAUCAAUGAUAAAUAAAAAAACAAAAUAGGAAAUUAAGUAUAAAAUAUUUCAACAUCAAUUAAUGUGGAUGACAGGCAUAAGGUAACCAUGACUCCCUGACAGGUUGGUAGAACAAAGGGUAGGAUUGAUUUUAUAUCCGUGUGUUGCUUCCGAUAAUUUACCCGUCGGCAAACAGAAAGAACAAUGAUAGAUCAAACUAUGUGCUUUUGGGUAGCAGCAUACGCGAAACACAGUUGAAGAAAUGUAAUGAUGGUAUGUCAUGAAAGGCUUUCCUAGGCAUGUAAUGUAUGAUCUCAAUAUGCGCUUUACACACUUACCUAAGUUGACAACUAACUCUAUAAUGCCAUUAAGACUUGAACACUAUUGUCCUGUACUAUUUUGCACGUAAUAAUGAAUCAUGGUGCCAUGGUGGUAGUAUAUUUUAGACUCGGAACAUGGCAUACACAAGGAUCAUCUAUCGAUUAUUAAUUAAGUGCUAAAGUAUGUGAUGGCAAUAUAUGGAACUAGCUGGCUUGAGAUUUGCUACAUGGAGGGGAGUACCACUACAUCAAUCAUAUCAUGCAUGAUGAGAUUGAGCGUACGCAAACUUGUAUUAUCAUGUGUCUACCUUUGAAAUAUACAUAAAAAAGGAAGUAAAACUUGUAGGAAAAAUUAUUGGCUGGUCAAAUAGUUUCAUUCUUCUGGAAUGUAUGACCAUAUUAAUAAUGAAGUACUUGAUUAGACUAAAGCUUCUACUGAACCCUCUCAGGUAAAUGCCAUGAUGGUGUUGCAUUUACCCUUAUAUGCUUAUGUCUGGAACACAUGCCUGCUCUGCUUUCGGAUUGAUCUUGUUAACGAAUACGCUGUUCGAGGAAUCGUCAGAGUUCUCCCCGGGUUUAAAGUUUAUACUGAAAUAUGUAAUUUUGAUUAGCAGUAUAAGGGUAGGUAAAAUGCCAUCAAGACAUGUAUUGACGGUAACGCGCAAGGCGCUCUCAUAGGUGUGUAAUUUGUGAUCUUAAGAUGCUCUAUGCGCUCAUGGUUGUUUGUUGGUUAAAUAUAAUUAGCCAUGAGUAUAUGGAGAACUAGUUGUUAGCUGGUUUUUGGUAAAAUCUGUUUUGCUAGCAGUUUUGUGAAUAAUCAGUAUAGGGAAAAUACUGGUCGGGAUUAGGAAACUGUAAAGAUGGACAUGCGAUUUACUUGUUUGGAUGAAAUUCCAUAUUCCUCUCUUUGUGAGUUGUGGAAGGAGGAUGGCAUGAAAAAAGUUUGGGGCGUGAGGAAGUUAGUUAGGAUCCUGUAUUGCUAAAUCGCGUUUUUGGAAAAACAAAAAAUAGUAGUUUCUCUACAAAUGUGAAAUCCAGAGUUUAAUUGAAAAAAGUUCUUCAUAUACGCGGGUAGGUGUACAUUUUCUACUUAGUGCAUGUCACGCACACCAUGAUUAUCUACUGAUUGUUAAGUGCUAAGUAUGGGUUGGGAAGAUAACCAACUAGUUGGCUUGAUAUCAGGCACAUGCAGGGGAGUACUCCAAAGUCAACUAUAUAUCAUGAUGGUAUCAAGCUUACAUAAACAUGUAUUAUCAUGCAUGUUCGUAUGAUAGUCCGGUAUCAGCUUUGAGAUCAUGAAUGGCAAACUGGAGGGGCUAAUUUAUGAGUGCGUGUGCUUAUAAAUAGGGUCUCUAGCUAGCUAGUACUCACCUCAACACAACCACGAGAAAACACUUCCAUUUUUCUAGAUAGAGCUUUGAGCCGCAACAUUCGCCUUCCGCUCUUGCGAUGGCUUCCAGCUCCGUGCCUAAGAUGGCUGCCGUUUUCAUGCUGGCCCUAUUCGCUGGCCAGGCGCUGAUGGCUACGCCGGCGAUGGCAGAAGGACUAGGUAACCGGCACAACCUUUUGGAGAAGUAUGAUGAGACGCAAUGUCGCGGAUACGCCACAUGCAAUAUUGUAUGCUUCUACCAAGUUUUCCAAGUCUGCAUCAUCUAUAGCCCUGUUGCAUUCUGCAACACUUGGGCGUUUGGUUUCUGCAAGGACAAGAGAUACUGAGGCAUAAAUAGCAGUGCAGCUCCUUUUGGGAUGCAUGCACAACUACACGAGCAACUCGCCUCAUCAGUGUCAACUAUUGUUCCUUGGUUAUUGGCGUUGUGCGUUGCAAGAGUCCUAAUAUGUUCCUCCCUUUAUUUCCAGCUAUCAUUUAUCAGUGGCUUAACCAACUAUUUAAUUACUUCAUUCUCUGUCAUCAUGGUACUUGUUUAACUAAAAAUCCCCUGUCGGAUACAAAUGUAUGUGUCGUGUGAUUAUAAAAUGGUUCCGCCGCGGCAGCAUUUUUCGGUCCAUGAUGGCCAUAUAAGCAUGCUCUUUCUACCCUUACCGAUGAAUCUUUCUUCAUGAAAUACCAUUCAUUUGACAGAUUUGGCAUGUGGUUCGACAAAAUGCCAUAAAAGUUAAAGGUUGCAAAAAUAUAAGGGAGCUUGAAGCUGAAUCGGCACUAACCUUGUAAGUAUUUUUCGUAGUGGACAAGACAAAUACUGCACAGGCCAUCGCCACACCCAG
This 8736-nucleotide long non-coding RNA is filed under the name Triticum aestivum (bread wheat). Its description in RNAcentral is "long non-coding RNA (TAES_LNC014141)". The record is from RNAcentral. Lineage: Eukaryota; Viridiplantae; Streptophyta; Magnoliopsida; Poales; Poaceae.